CAUCGGCGGCGAGCGAUUCCGGUAGCCGGGUUCCGAGAGAGAGUGAUACGGCACAUUCGACUGAAACCGUCGAAAUCCUACGGAGGCAGCAGGGGAUAAUUGACAUGGGCGCAGCUGAUCAGCCAUGCGCGUGUGUGAGAGACCCUCGGGUGUAAAGCACUUUCAGUGGGGAAGAAAGCUCGCGCUAUAUCCGCGAGGAAGGACAUCACCCACAGAGAGCACGGCUAACUCCGUGCCAGCAGCCGCGGUAAUACGGAGGGUGCGAGCGUUAAUCGGAAUUACUGGGCGUAAAGCGCGCAUAGGUGGCUUGAUAAGCCGGUUGUGAAAGCCCCGGGCUCAACCUGGGAACGGCAUCCGGGAACUGUCAGGCUAGAGUGCAGGAGAGGAAGGUAGAAUUCCCGGUGUAGCGGUGAAAUGCGUAGAGAUCGGGAGGAAUACCAGUGGCGAAGGCGGCCUUCUGGACUGACACUGACACUGAGGUGCGAAAGCGUGGGUAGCAAACAGGAUUAGAUACCCUGGUAGUCCACGCCGUAAACGAUGUCGACUAGCCGUUGGGUCCUUCGCGGACUUUGUGGCGCAGUUAACGCGAUAAGUCGACCGCCUGGGGAGUACGGCCGCAAGGUUAAAACUCAAAUGAAUUGACGGGGGCCCGCACAAGCGGUGGAGCAUGUGGCUUAAUUCGAUGCAACGCGAAGAACCUUACCUACCCUUGACAUCCUGCGAACCCUUCGGAGACGAAGGGGUGCCUUCGGGAACGCAGAGACAGGUGCUGCAUGGCUGUCGUCAGCUCGUGUUGUGAAAUGUUGGGUUAAGUCCCGUAACGAGCGCAACCCUUGUCCUUAUUUGCCAGCGAGUAAAGUCGGGAACUCUAAGGAGACUGCCGGUGACAAACCGGAGGAAGGUGGGGACGACGUCAAGUCAUCAUGGCCCUUACGGGUAGGGCUACACACGUGCUACAAUGGUCAGUACAAAGGGUUGCGAACUCGCGAGAGCAAGCCAAUCCCAGAAAGCUGAUCUCAGUCCGGAUCGGAGUCUGCAACUCGACUCCGUGAAGUCGGAAUCGCUAGUAAUCGUGAAUCAGAAUGUCACGGUGAAUACGUUCCCGGGCCUUGUACACACCGCCCGUCACACCAUGGGAGUGGACUGCACCAGAAGUGGUUAGCCUAACCUUCGGGAGGGCGAUCACCACGGUGUGGUUCAUGACUGGGGUGAAGUCGUAACAAGGUAACCAAUCUCUAGAGUCCCCCGACAGCACCU
This 1257-nucleotide ribosomal RNA is filed under the name uncultured bacterium. RNAcentral describes it as "bacterial SSU rRNA". It matches the Rfam family "Bacterial small subunit ribosomal RNA", at positions 258 to 1533 of the family's 1533-position model. The record is from RNAcentral.